Molecule: ribosomal RNA, 720 nt
Filed under: Escherichia coli
Lineage: Bacteria; Pseudomonadati; Pseudomonadota; Gammaproteobacteria; Enterobacterales; Enterobacteriaceae
Description: partial 23S ribosomal RNA
Rfam family: Bacterial large subunit ribosomal RNA
Source: RNAcentral
CGGUAAACGGCGGCCGUAACUAUAACGGUCCUAAGGUAGCGAAAUUCCUUGUCGGGUAAGUUCCGACCUGCACGAAUGGCGUAAUGAUGGCCAGGCUGUCUCCACCCGAGACUCAGUGAAAUUGAACUCGCUGUGAAGAUGCAGUGUACCCGCGGCAAGACGGAAAGACCCCGUGAACCUUUACUAUAGCUUGACACUGAACAUUGAGCCUUGAUGUGUAGGAUAGGUGGGAGGCUUUGAAGUGUGGACGCCAGUCUGCAUGGAGCCGACCUUGAAAUACCACCCUUUAAUGUUUGAUGUUCUAACGUUGACCCGUAAUCCGGGUUGCGGACAGUGUCUGGUGGGUAGUUUGACUGGGGCGGUCUCCUCCUAAAGAGUAACGGAGGAGCACGAAGGUUGGCUAAUCCUGGUCGGACAUCAGGAGGUUAGUGCAAUGGCAUAAGCCAGCUUGACUGCGAGCGUGACGGCGCGAGCAGGUGCGAAAGCAGGUCAUAGUGAUCCGGUGGUUCUGAAUGGAAGGGCCAUCGCUCAACGGAUAAAAGGUACUCCGGGGAUAACAGGCUGAUACCGCCCAAGAGUUCAUAUCGACGGCGGUGUUUGGCACCUCGAUGUCGGCUCAUCACAUCCUGGGGCUGAAGUAGGUCCCAAGGGUAUGGCUGUUCGCCAUUUAAAGUGGUACGCGAGCUGGGUUUAGAACGUCGUGAGACAGUUCGGUCCCUA